GACGAACGCUGGCGGCGUGCUUAACACAUGCAAGUCGAACGGAAAGGCCCUGCUUGCAGGGUGCUCGAGUGGCGAACGGGUGAGUAACACGUGGGUGAUCUGCCCCUUAUUUUGGGAUAAGCCUGGGAAACUGGGUCUAAUACUGGAUAGGACCAUGCUGUAGGUGUUGUGGUGGAAAGAUUAGUUUCGGUAAGGGAUGAGCUCGCGGCCUAUCAGCUUGUUGGUGGGGUAAUGGCCUACCAAGGCGUCGACGGGUAGCCGGCCUGAGAGGGUGGACGGCCACAUUGGGACUGAGAUGCGGCCCAGACUCCUGCGGGAGGCGGCAGUGGGGAAUAUUGCACAAUGGGCGCAAGCCUGAUGCAGCGACGCCGCGUGGGGGAUGACGGCCUUCGGGUUGGAAACACCUUUCAGCCAUGACGAAGCCCUUGUGGUGACGGUAGUGGUAGAAGAAGCACCGGCUAACUACGUG
This 469-nucleotide ribosomal RNA is filed under the name uncultured bacterium. Its description in RNAcentral is "partial 16S ribosomal RNA". It matches the Rfam family "Bacterial small subunit ribosomal RNA", at positions 28 to 507 of the family's 1533-position model. The record is from RNAcentral.